UUCGACGUGGGAUGGGCAUCCCGACGUCGCCAUCGUCGAGAUCGGUGGUACGGUCGGCGACAUCGAGUCGCUUCCGUUCCUUGAAGCC
This 88-nucleotide transfer RNA is filed under the name Pandoraea morbifera. RNAcentral describes it as "Pandoraea sp. LMG 31116 tRNA-Gly". The record is from RNAcentral. Lineage: Bacteria; Pseudomonadati; Pseudomonadota; Betaproteobacteria; Burkholderiales; Burkholderiaceae.